Molecule: ribosomal RNA, 407 nt
Filed under: Apocephalus laceyi
Lineage: Eukaryota; Metazoa; Arthropoda; Insecta; Diptera; Phoridae
Description: partial 16S ribosomal RNA
Rfam family: Bacterial large subunit ribosomal RNA
Source: RNAcentral
GUUUAUCAAAAACAUGUCUUUUAGAAUUUAAUUUAAAGUCUAGCCUGCCCACUGAAUUUUAAAUGGCCGCAGUAUUUUAACUGUGCAAAGGUAGCAUAAUCAUUAGUUUUUUAAUUAAAAGCUGGAAUGAAUGGUUGAAUGAAAUAUUAACUGUUUCAAUUAAAUUUUUAAUAUAAUUUUAUUUUUUAGUUAAAAAGCUAAAAUUUUAUUAAUAGACAAGAAGACCCUAUAAAUCUUUAUAUUUUAUUGGGGUGAUAUUAAAAUAUAAUAAACUUUUAUUUAUAUUAAACAUAAAUUAUUGAUUUAUUGAUCCAAUAUUUUUGAUUAUUAAAUUAAGUUACUUUAGGGAUAACAGCGUAAUUUUUUUAGAGAGUUCAUAUUAAUAAAAAAGAUUGCGACCUCGAUGU